GACGAACGCUGGCGGCGUGCUUAACACAUGCAAGUCGAACGGUGAAGCGCCUUCCUUUUUGGUGGGUGUGGAUGAGUGGCGAACGGGUGAGUAACACGUGAGUAACCUGCCCCCUUCUUCUGGAUAACCGCAUGAAAGUGUGGCUAAUACGGGAUAUUCUGGGUCUGUCGCAUGAUGGGUCUGGGAAAGAUAUUGUUUCGGUGGGGGAUGGGCUCGCGGCCUAUCAGCUUGUUGGUGGGGUGAUGGCCUACCAAGGCGGUGACGGGUAGCCGGCCUGAGAGGGUGGACGGUGACACUGGGGCUGAGACGCGGUGCAGACUCCUGCGGGAGGCAGCAGUGGGGAAUAUUGAACAGUGGGCGGAAGCAUGAUGCAGCGACGCCGCGGGGGGGAUGGAGGCCUUCGGGUUGUGAACCUCUGUCGCUAGUGCAGGCCUGCCUCGUUUGUGGGUGGGUUGACGGUAGCUGGAUAAGAAGCGCCGGCUAACUACGUG
RNAcentral lists this ribosomal RNA (491 nucleotides) under uncultured bacterium. Its description in RNAcentral is "partial 16S ribosomal RNA". It matches the Rfam family "Bacterial small subunit ribosomal RNA", at positions 28 to 507 of the family's 1533-position model. The record is from RNAcentral.